UCUUGGCCAGCCUUCUGAAAGGAAGAUUAAUCCAGGAUGGGAUCAUGAGUUCACAUGUCCGCAUGAUUAAAGGUAUUUUCCGGUAGACGAUGGGGAUGCGUUCCAUUAGAUAGUAGGCGGGGUAACGGCCCACCUAGUCAACGAUGGAUAGGGGUUCUGAGAGGAAGGUCCCCCACAUUGGAACUGAGACACGGUCCAAACUCCUACGGGAGGCAGCAGUGAGGAAUAUUGGUCAAUGGGCGAUGGCCUGAACCAGCCAAGUAGCGUGAAGGAUGACUGCCCUAUGGGUUGUAAACUUCUUUUAUAAAGGAAUAAAGUCGGGUAUGCAUACCCGUUUGCAUGUACUUUAUGAAUAAGGAUCGGCUAACUCCGUGCCAGCAGCCGCGGUAAUACGGAGGAUCCGAGCGUUAUCCGGAUUUAUUGGGUUUAAAGGGAGCGUAGAUGGAUGUUUAAGUCAGUUGUGAAAGUUUGCGGCUCAACCGUAAAAUUGCAGUUGAUACUGGAUGUCUUGAGUGCAGUUGAGGCAGGCGGAAUUCGUGGUGUAGCGGUGAAAUGCUUAGAUAUCACGAAGAACUCCGAUUGCGAAGGCAGCCUGCUAAGCUGCAACUGACAUUGAGGCUCGAAAGUGUGGGUAUCAAACAGGAUUAGAUACCCUGGUAGUCCACACGGUAAACGAUGAAUACUCGCUGUUUGCGAUAUACGGCAAGCGGCCAAGCGAAAGCGUUAAGUAUUCCACCUGGGGAGUACGCCGGCAACGGUGAAACUCAAAGGAAUUGACGGGGGCCCGCACAAGCGGAGGAACAUGUGGUUUAAUUCGAUGAUACGCGAGGAACCUUACCCGGGCUUAAAUUGCACUCGAAUGAUCCGGAAACGGUUCAGCUAGCAAUAGCGAGUGUGAAGGUGCUGCAUGGUUGUCGUCAGCUCGUGCCGUGAGGUGUCGGCUUAAGUGCCAUAACGAGCGCAACCCUUGUUGUCAGUUACUAACAGGUGAUGCUGA
Molecule: ribosomal RNA, 997 nt
Filed under: uncultured Bacteroides sp.
Lineage: Bacteria; Pseudomonadati; Bacteroidota; Bacteroidia; Bacteroidales; Bacteroidaceae
Description: bacterial SSU rRNA
Rfam family: Bacterial small subunit ribosomal RNA
Source: RNAcentral